This 293-nucleotide ribosomal RNA is filed under the name Clostridioides difficile. Its description in RNAcentral is "partial 16S ribosomal RNA". It matches the Rfam family "Bacterial small subunit ribosomal RNA", at positions 525 to 818 of the family's 1533-position model. Lineage: Bacteria; Bacillati; Bacillota; Clostridia; Peptostreptococcales; Peptostreptococcaceae. The record is from RNAcentral.
ACGUAGGGGGCUAGCGUUAUCCGGAUUUACUGGGCGUAAAGGGUGCGUAGGCGGUCUUUCAAGUCAGGAGUGAAAGGCUACGGCUCAACCGUAGUAAGCUCUUGAAACUGGGAGACUUGAGUGCAGGGGAGGAGAGUGGAAUUCCUAGUGUAGCGGUGAAAUGCGUAGAUAUUAGGAGGAACACCAGUUGCGAAGGCGGCUCUCUGGACUGUAACUGACGCUGAGGCACGAAAGCGUGGGGAGCAAACAGGAUUAGAUACCCUGGUAGUCCACGCUGUAAACGAUGAGUACUA